GACGAACGCUGGCGGCGUGCUUAACACAUGCAAGUCGAACGGAAAGGCCCUGCUUUUGUGGGGUGCUCGAGUGGCGAACGGGUGAGUAACACGUGAGUAACCUGCCCUUGACUUUGGGAUAACUUCAGGAAACUGGGGCUAAUACCGGAUAGGAGCUCCUGCUGCAUGGUGGGGGUUGGAAAGUUUCGGCGGUUGGGGAUGGACUCGCAGCUUAUCAGCUUGUUUGUGGGGUAGUGGCUUACCAAGGCUUUGACGGGUAGCCGGCCUGAGAGGGUGACCGGCGACAUUGGGACUGAGGUACGGCCCAGACUCGUACGGGAGGCAGCAGUGGGGAAUAUUGCACAAUGGGCGGAAGCGUGAUGCAGCAACGCCGCGUGCGGGAUGACGGCCUUCGGGUUGUAAACAGCUUUCGAAUGUGACGAAGCGUGAGUGACGGUAAUGGGUAAAGAAGCACCGGCUAACUACGUG
This 468-nucleotide ribosomal RNA is filed under the name uncultured bacterium. Its description in RNAcentral is "partial 16S ribosomal RNA". It matches the Rfam family "Bacterial small subunit ribosomal RNA", at positions 28 to 507 of the family's 1533-position model. The record is from RNAcentral.